Molecule: RNA transcript, 2382 nt
Organism: Ceratosolen solmsi marchali
Lineage: Eukaryota; Metazoa; Arthropoda; Insecta; Hymenoptera; Agaonidae
Gene name: acyl-CoA Delta(11) desaturase
Exons: 7
Source: RefSeq, a predicted model, not a curated record
CUCGUCGUGGUCCUCGACGUCGAUAUCCCUGCGCGCUCGCAGCCGCCUAUUAGGCUUACAGCCCCGGGGCUCGGUCUAGGGACGCAACAACGACAAGCGCGAGCGAGCAGCGGCCACUCGCAAGCCAAUCAUAUUUAACUGUCGGCCGCGUGCUACCGGCGCCCCAGUACUCGCUCUUCUCGCUUACCUGUCACUUGCUGCAGUUCAGUGUUACGACGUGCUCGGCUUGACUGGCACUGUUGGUGGCGGUAGCUCGACUAUUGCCUGUCCUACAGUCGGCUCUUUAUUCCACUUUUUUUUUCCGGUAAUAGGCGAGGAAAGGUUGACAGUCGCUAGUAUCGUCGUUUAACAAGCAGCGAGACCGGACGACGGCUUCUUGCACAAGAAUUAAAUUCGUAAUGGCACCAAAUAUUACUAGUGCACCAACUGGAGUACUUUUUGAAGAAGAAACUCUUGAAAAUUUACCAAGGCAUCAAUUGGUUAAUGAAGAAACGAAAGAGAAAAUUGAAUAUAAAUUGCAAAUUGUUUGGAAGAAUGUAUUUAUAUUUCUUUUUCUUCAUAUUGGAGCACUGUAUGGAAUCUACCUUAUUUUUACAUCAGCUAAAAUUGCUACAACAAUAUUUGCAUUUCUUUUAUAUCAAGCUAGUGGAAUUGGAAUUACAGCAGGUGCACAUAGGCUUUGGUCACACAGAUCAUACAAAGCUACUUGGCAACUACGUCUUUUAUUAAUUAUCCUUAACACACUUGCUUUUCAGGAUGCAGCUGUAGAUUGGGCAAGAGAUCACAGAAUGCACCAUAAAUAUAGUGAAACUGAUGCUGAUCCACACAAUGCAACGAGAGGUUUCUUUUUCUCACACGUCGGAUGGUUACUUUGUCGAAAACAUCCUCAAAUCAAAGAGAAAGGCAAAGGGAUUGAUCUAUCCGAUCUUAAGAGCGAUCCGAUUCUGAAAUUUCAAAAGAGGUACUAUAUUUAUCUCAUGCCACUGGUUUGCUUUUUUAUUCCUAUGGUGAUUCCUGUUUAUUUUUGGAGUGAAACUUGGGCAAACGCUUAUUUUAUUCCAACUAUUCUGCGGUAUACAUUUACCUUGAAUAUGACAUGGUUAGUAAAUUCUGCAGCUCACUUAUUUGGAAGAAAACCGUACGACCAAUAUAUAAAUCCCUCAGAAAAUAAAGGUGUUGCAAUAAUGGCCCUUGGUGAAGGAUGGCAUAAUUAUCACCAUGUCUUUCCUUGGGAUUACAAAACAUCUGAACUGGGAAACUACGCAUUUAAUUUUACUACAGCCUUUAUUGACUUUUUCUCUCGCAUUGGAUGGGCGUACGAUCUUAAAACAGCUUCAAUUGAUAUGGUUAAAAAAAGAGUCGAAAGAACUGGAGACGGCACACAUGAAGUUUGGGGUUGGGGUGAUAAAGAUCAAACACAAGAGGAACGAGAAGCUGCAAUAAUUAUCAAUCAUGUCAAAGACCAUUAAAACUACAACUGUAAAAAUUUAUAUAAAAUGAAGUAGCUUAAUGUACAUCUUUAUAUGCCUUCCAUCGUUCAUAAAAUUUAAUGAGUGACGUUAACUGAGACUGGACUGUUGCAACACUAGUCGAACAAAAAUAAUUCUCAAUCAGAAUUUUUUAUUUCAAUUAUAUUAUAAAAGCGUUUCGGGCACUAUCAGUUUUAAUAAGAUCUAUUUCAUAUAGUCAAUUGGCAAAUAUAAUUUAAAACUAAAUAAUAUCUCAAAAACAACUGCAGCUACUAUAAGUGAAUUGCUUGAGCCUAAUUAAAUAUUUAUUAGAAAAAUUUAUUGCAUCAUACAAAAAUUAACCAUUCUUUCUAUUCUGAAGAUAAAUCGAAAUAAUUUAAAAUGACUACCUGGUACCUGUAUUAAAGCAUCAAACAUUGUUUCUCAAAAAAACAAUAUAUUGCACACUAUAGCUAGCAUACCAGUAAGCUAUGAGAAACAUACAUCUUUAAAUGCGAAAUACAAAACUUAGAUAUAUAUUUGUGAAUAUUUAAAUAACAUAUAUAUCAUUAUAAAUACAUAAGGACAAACAUCUGUGAAAUUAAUAAUCUUGCAGUAUGCUGUAACUAUUAGUAAAUCAAUUGUUUGUAUACCAAAUUUUGCAAACGCUGCAGUGCGGUGUCGACAAAAUCCCAAAAUUUAUUUGUAAUUUUUUAAAUAAUUAUUCUUACUGCAAAUGUGAUUUACAAACUCAAAUUGUGAAAUUACAUAACAGUAUAAAGCGUGAUAUUAUAUUGAUGAAUCAACAUCUAAGAUAGCCUAAUAAGGUUCCACGUAGCAAAAAAUACCCUACGUGAAUGUGUAAUGCGUUGAUUAUUAACGUUUAAUAUUUAUUAUAUAUAUUAAAAUAAACGCUAGUUUACAUUUUGUUUUA